UUCAGAUUGAACGCUGGCGGCAUGCCUUACACAUGCAAGUCGAACGGCAGCAUGAUCUAGCUUGCUAGAUUGAUGGCGAGUGGCGAACGGGUGAGUAAUACAUCGGAACGUGCCCUGUAGUGGGGGAUAACUAGUCGAAAGAUUAGCUAAUACCGCAUACGACCUGAGGGUGAAAGUGGGGGACCGCAAGGCCUCAUGCUAUAGGAGCGGCCGAUGUUUGAUUAGCUAGUUGGUGAGGUAAAGGCUCACCAAGGCGACGAUCAGUAGCUGGUCUGAGAGGACGAUCAGCCACACUGGGAGUGAGACACGGCCCAGACUCCUACGGGAGGCAGCAGUGGGGAAUUUUGGACAAUGGGCGAAAGCCUGAUCCAGCAAUGCCGCGUGUGUGAAGAAGGCCUUCGGGUUGUAAAGCACUUUUGUCCGGAAAGAAAUGGCUCUGGUUAAUACCUGGGGUCGAUGACGGUACCGGAAGAAUAAGGACCGGCUAACUACGUGCCAGCAGCCGCGGUAAUACGUAGGGUCCAAGCGUUAAUCGGAAUUACUGGGCGUAAAGCGUGCGCAGGCGGUUGUGCAAGACCGAUGUGAAAUCCCCGAGCUUAACUUGGGAAUUGCAUUGGUGACUGCACGGGUAGAGUGUGUCAGAGGGGGGUAGAAUUCCACGUGUAGCAGUGAAAUGGGUAGAGAUGUGGAGGAAUGCCGAUGGCGAAGGCAGCCCCCUGGGAUAACACUGACGAUCAUGCACGAAAGCGUGGGGAGCAAACAGGAUUAGAUACCCUGGUAGUCCACGCCCUAAACGAUGUCAACUAGUUGUUGGGGAUUCAUUUCCUUAGUAACGUAGCUAACGCGUGAAGUUGACCGCCUGGGGAGUACGGUCGCAAGAUUAAAACUCAAAGGAAUUGACGGGGACCCGCACAAGCGGUGGAUGAUGUGGAUUAAUUCGAUGCAACGCGAAAAACCUUACCUACCCUUGACAUGCCACUAACGAAGCAGACCCUUGUCUCUAGUUGCUACGAAAGGGCACUCUAGAGAGACUGCCGGUGACAAACCGGAGGAAGGUGGGGAUGACGUCAAGUCCUCAUGGCCCUUAUGGGUAGGGCUUCACACGUCAUACAAUGGUGCAUACAGAGGGUUGCCAAGCCGCGAGGUGGAGUUAAUCCCAGAAAAUGCAUCGUAGUCCGGAUGUUAGUAUGCAACUCGCCUACGUGAAGCGGGAAUCGUUAGUAAUCGUGGAUCAGCAUGCCGCGGUGAAUACGUUCCGUAGUCUGCAACUCGACUACGUGAAGCUGGAAUCGCUAGUAAUCGCGGAUCAGCAUGCCGCGGUGAAUACGUUCCCGGGUCUUGUACACACCGCCCGUCACACCAUGGGAGUGGGCUUUACCAGAAGUAGUUAGCCUAACCGCAAGGAGGGCGAUUACCACGGUAGGGUUCAUGACUGGGGUGAAGUCGUAA
RNAcentral lists this ribosomal RNA (1449 nucleotides) under Arthrobacter sp. FeAH9. RNAcentral's name for it is "bacterial SSU rRNA". It matches the Rfam family "Bacterial small subunit ribosomal RNA". The record is from RNAcentral. Lineage: Bacteria; Bacillati; Actinomycetota; Actinomycetes; Micrococcales; Micrococcaceae.